Molecule: long non-coding RNA, 212 nt
Filed under: Cicer arietinum (chickpea)
Lineage: Eukaryota; Viridiplantae; Streptophyta; Magnoliopsida; Fabales; Fabaceae
Description: long non-coding RNA (CARI_LNC003230)
Source: RNAcentral
UCUUUUUCUCUCUUUAAUGCCUUUCAUCACAUAUUCAACACCACAAUCUUCACGCGUGUAUUCUACUUCCUAGUUCCUACCUUCUCUUUAGUCUUUAUAAUAUAGGUUAGAUGUGACAAAUCCUACUAAACUUACAAUAUUACUUUGACAAAUGUUAACAAAGGCUCUCAAAAAUGUUUAUUAAACAUCCAAUCAUAUAAAUGUUAUAUUAA